AUCCAGUUGACGAAUCUCAAAUAAGACCAGACGCGCGUCCUGGAU
This 45-nucleotide non-coding RNA is filed under the name Schistosoma margrebowiei. Lineage: Eukaryota; Metazoa; Platyhelminthes; Trematoda; Strigeidida; Schistosomatidae. The record is from RNAcentral.